RNAcentral lists this unclassified non-coding RNA (332 nucleotides) under soil metagenome. RNAcentral's name for it is "partial contains 5.8S ribosomal RNA, internal transcribed spacer 2, and large subunit ribosomal RNA". The stretch from base 1 to 120 matches the Rfam family "5.8S ribosomal RNA", at positions 35 to 154 of the family's 154-position model. The record is from RNAcentral.
GAUGAAGAACGCAGCGAAAUGCGAUAAGUAGUGUGAAUUGCAGAAUUCAGUGAAUCAUCGAAUCUUUGAACGCACAUUGCGCCCUUUGGUAUUCCUUAGGGCAUGCCUGUUCGAGCGUCAUUUAAACCUUCAAGCUAAGCUUGGUGUUGGGUGACUGUCCACUUCACUGCGGACUCGCCUCAAAAUUAUUGGCGGCCGGUACAUUGGCUUCGAGCGCAGCAGAAACGCGAACUCGGGCCCGUCGUAUUGGCUCCCAGAAGCUAUCUUCACAAUUUUGACCUCGGAUCAGGUAGGGAUACCCGCUGAACUUAAGCAUAUCAAUAAGCGGAGGA